UCCAUCACUGUUAGGACACUCCAGAGAAUCACAGUUUGAAAUCACUGACAGUUGACAAUGAUUCGAUUUUUCCCCAAGCACAUCGCUGAGCCCAGUGUGUGUGUGUGUGUGUGUGUGUGUGUGUGUGUGUGUCCCUGCAGCAUACUCCACGCCAGGCUCCACAGCUCCCAACAGGUUUGUCAGCAUCGGAGCACGGGACAACUUUCUGAACAUCCCCCAGCAGACUCAGUCUUGGUUCCUCUGACAAGGCCUUCCUGAAUCAACAGCUGAAAUUGUGUCAUGAAAAUUGGAAAAA
Hypomesus transpacificus is the source of this 295-nucleotide long non-coding RNA. RefSeq lists it as uncharacterized. The record is from RefSeq and is a predicted model, not a curated record. The transcript has 2 exons. NCBI's taxonomy places the organism in Eukaryota, Metazoa, Chordata, Actinopteri, Osmeriformes, Osmeridae.